Molecule: ribosomal RNA, 388 nt
Filed under: uncultured bacterium
Lineage: Bacteria
Description: bacterial SSU rRNA
Rfam family: Bacterial small subunit ribosomal RNA
Source: RNAcentral
AUUGAACGCUGGCGGAAUGCUUUACACAUGCAAGUCGAACGGCAGCACGGGUGCUUGCACCUGGUGGCGAGUGGCGAACGGGUGAGUAAUGCACCGGAACGUAUCCAAUAAUGGGGGAUAACGCACCGAAAGGUGUGCUAAUACCGCAUACGCCCUGAGGGGGAAAGCGGGGGAUCGUAAGACCUCGCGUUAAUGGAGCGGCCGAUGCCGGAUUAGCUAGUUGGUGAGGUAAAGGCUCACCAAGGCGACGAUCCGUAGCUGGUCUGAGAGGACGACCAGCCACGCUGGAACUGAGACACGGUCCAGACUCCUACGGGAGGCAGCAGUGGGGAAUUUUGGACAAUGGGCGCAAGCCUGAUCCAGCCAUUCCGCGUGAGUGAAGAAGGCC